AUUGAACGCUGGCGGCAGGCCUAACACAUGCAAGUCGAGCGGUAGCACAGGAGAGCUUGCUCUCCGGGUGACGAGCGGCGGACGGGUGAGUAAUGUCUGGGAAACUGCCUGAUGGAGGGGGAUAACUACUGGAAACGGGAGCUAAUACCGCAUAACGUCGCAAGACCAAAGAGGGGGACAUUCGGGCCUCUUGCCAUCAGCUGGGGCCAGAUGGUAUUAGCUAGUAGGUGGGGUAACGGCUCACCUAGGCGACGAUACCUAGCUGGUCUGAGAGGAUGACCAGCCACACUGGAACUGAGACACGGUCCAGACUCCUACGGGAGGCAGCAGUGGGGAAUAUUGCACAAUGGGCGCAAGCCUGAUGCAGCCAUGCCGCGUGUAUGAAGAAGGCCUUCGGGUUGUAAAGUACUCUCAGCGGGGAGGAAGGUGUUGUGGUUAAUAACCACAGCAAUUGACGUUACCCGCAGAAGAAGCACCGGCUAACUCCGUGCCAGCAGCCGCUGUAA
RNAcentral lists this ribosomal RNA (506 nucleotides) under uncultured bacterium. RNAcentral's name for it is "partial 16S ribosomal RNA". It matches the Rfam family "Bacterial small subunit ribosomal RNA", at positions 29 to 523 of the family's 1533-position model. The record is from RNAcentral.